RNAcentral lists this ribosomal RNA (484 nucleotides) under uncultured bacterium. RNAcentral describes it as "partial 16S ribosomal RNA". It matches the Rfam family "Bacterial small subunit ribosomal RNA", at positions 30 to 507 of the family's 1533-position model. The record is from RNAcentral.
AUUGAACGCUGCCGGCAGCCCUAACACAUGCAAGUCGAGCGGAUGAAGGGAGCUUGCUCCUGGAUUCAGCGGCGGACGGGUGAGUAAUGCCUAGGAAUCUGCCUGUUAGUGGGGGAUAACGUCCGGAAACGGGCGCUAAUACCGCAUACGUCCUGUGGGAGAAAGUGGGGGAUCUUCGUACCUCACGCUAUCAGAUGUGCCUAGGUCGGAUUAGCUAGUUGGUGGGGUAAAGGCCUACCAAGGCGACGAUCCGUAACUGGUCUGAGAGGAUGAUCAGUCACACUGGAACUGAGACACGGUCCAGACUCCUACGGGAGGCAGCAGUGGGGAAUAUUGGACAAUGGGCGAAAGCCUGAUCCAGCCAUGCCGCGUGUGUGAAGAAGGUCUUCGGAUUUUAAAGCACUUUAAGUUGGGAGGAAGGGCAGUAAGUUAAUACCUUGCUGUUUUGACGUUACCAACAGAAUAAGCACCGGCUAACUUCGUG